RNAcentral lists this ribosomal RNA (280 nucleotides) under uncultured bacterium. RNAcentral's name for it is "partial 16S ribosomal RNA". It matches the Rfam family "Bacterial small subunit ribosomal RNA", at positions 28 to 306 of the family's 1533-position model. The record is from RNAcentral.
GACGAACGCUGGCGGCGUGCUUAACACAUGCAAGUCGAACGGAAAGGCCCUGCUUUUGUGGGGUGCUCGAGUGGCGAACGGGUGAGUAACACGUGAGUAACCUGCCCUUGACUUUGGGAUAACUUCAGGAAACUGGGGCUAAUACCGGAUAGGAGCUCCUGCUGCAUGGUGGGGGUUGGAAAGUUUCGGCGGUUGGGGAUGGACUCGCGGCUUAUCAGCUUGUUGGUGGGGUAGUGGCUUACCAAGGCUUUGACGGGUAGCCGGCCUGAGAGGGUGACCG